Theobroma cacao (cacao) is the source of this 1434-nucleotide RNA transcript. It is a transcript of the gene named methyltransferase, with no coding region annotated. Lineage: Eukaryota; Viridiplantae; Streptophyta; Magnoliopsida; Malvales; Malvaceae. The record is from RefSeq and is a predicted model, not a curated record.
AGACUCAUCACCAUCAGAACCCAUUGCUGGUAAAGAAAAGUUACAGUCUUUAUGUACCAAGAAAAAGAAAAGCUACAGUCUUUACUCUUGACGCCGUUGCUAGUAGUACAAUUAUAAUACCAAAAGUUAGUGAUGGCAAUGGCGAUUUCAGCGUGUGGUGCUUGUCUUCAGUGGAAGAAUUCCAGCUCUCAUUCUUCAGGUAAAGGCUGCAAAUACACUGGUCAAUCCGUGAAAGCAUUGCCUGUUCGAAUCCUAUCGGUAGGAAAAAAGAGGUCUCCUGGUGUGCAAUUACUGGUGGAUGAAUAUAUCGCAAAGCUCAAAUGUUAUUGUCAUGUUGAUGAUGUUCAAAUUCGGUCCAAUCCUAAAAAUGCACGCAAUGCGAGGGCUCAGGUUGAUGAUGAAGACACGGCUGUUGUCAACCUUAUCAGGUCCGAUGAUUGGGUGGUGAUGUUGGAUGAGCAUGGACUAGAUAUUGGGUCUGAGCACAUGGCCGAAUUGUUAGGAGAUGCUGGGAAUACGGGAGCUUUAAGGUUAUCGUUUUGCAUUGGUGGACCUUAUGGUCAUGGACAACAAAUACGAGAACGUGCAAACGUAUCAAUCAAGUUGUCUUCAAUGGUAUUGAAUCAUCAAAUUGCACUAGUUGUGCUCCUGGAACAACUUUAUAGGUCAUGGACUAUUCUGAAAGGACAAAAGUAUCAUCAUUAGCCAUCUUCAUGUUGUGAAUCAUGGCACUUAGGUUUAUCAUUAAUUAUCAGGCCUUCAGAAAGAUUAACUCCAUUUGUCACAGAUUGAAGUUUUCAUGAAAACCUGCAUUCCUGUUCUUGUGUUUGGCAAUUGCAGCAAAUGGACUAGAUUGGACUUAUCUGUGUUUGCUGCAGACUGACACAACAAUUUUGGUGAGGCAUAGACAAAGUUUGGAGCUUGUUGAAGCCCUCACCAUGUAACUGAUGCCUUUAUUGUAUCAUCUACUUACAGCUUAGAGACAUCUUGCAUCACUGAACCAUACAAAAUUGUAGGUGUAAAAAACUUUUCCUUCAUGUUCAAGGCAAUCUAAUUGUUGAGUAAACUAUGAACAAACAAGAAAGAAAAAUUGUUGGUUGAAUGGAGUGAAUGUUACCAAGAAAAAUUGCGUUGUCUUGAUCAACGAUUGCUCUGACUUUUGGCAUUCCUAGUUCGACAGUUUUGUCCAGCAGCAGGUUCUAUCUGGAUAGGCUUAUCCUGGGGAAGUUUGAUUAGUCAAAUGAGUAGCUAUUCUGAUGUCAAGAUCCAACAUCAUACAUACGAUGAAACGAAAGACAUGAAACCCGAAUAGCCCAAAAUGCUGCAUCAGUAUGGUCGAGAAGCAGAAAUUGUCUAAUGAUAUCUGUAUUCUGUAUCAUAAAUUAGACGAGAUGUGUUCAUAUGAUUCAAGAAGAGAUGAUGCUAGUGCAACUA